Molecule: unclassified non-coding RNA, 375 nt
Filed under: fungal sp.
Lineage: Eukaryota; Fungi
Description: partial internal transcribed spacer region
Source: RNAcentral
GAUGACCAGCUCCCCUCAAUUUCGGUCUUUUGGCAAUCUCUGGUAAAUCAUCGCCGAACAGUUUUGAUUCAGAGACAUCCAAAGGGCCGGGGUAGGGUAUUAAAGUAGUUGUCCCAUGCAAGCAGCCUGGUUUCUUGGAAGCAGAAUGUGAUAGAAGAUGUCGGAGAACGGACCGAGUGGUAGUUCGAAGAUGACUUCUGUCGCGCGCUGUGAAAAAGAAGACGCUUUACGAAUCACUGACCAACACGGCCAGUGACCGGGUUCCUGGGUCCUAGCCCCCCUGAUCACCCCGACAGUCGCAGACGCGGGUAGGGAUACGUCCUUACCAAAAAAUAAAUACUUGAACAACUGUUAACAGUGGAUAUCUUGGUUCUC